CAGUGCAUAUAAAAUAAUAAAGUGUUAUCAAUAGCCACAUAAAGUGUUGAUGGCUAUGCACAAUGUCAAAACAAGUUAUGACCAAAUACAUUUUGUCCACAAAAUGGAUGUCAUACGGUGUGACACUAAAAUGUGUAUUUUGAACGGGCAAUAAUUUGGACAUCUUAAUGAUGAAGAGGACCACGCCCAACCAGGAAGUUACAGUAACAUCUCUGGAGUGACUUGCAAAUUCAUGAGAGUGAGGCAGAUAUGUCCAGCAAGGAAAGGACACGCAAGUACAGGGAAAGACUGAAUGCAGACCCUGUGACGAGAGAGGAUAUCCUCAGGGAAAGAAGAAAAAAGUAUGAAGAGAAGAAACAAAAAGGAAAAAAUGACCCUCGCAGUGUCAAAUCACUUCCUCCUUCUAAGCAAGACACAUUGAGGGAGAAAUGGAGAAAUGCACAAAGGACACACAGAAAAAGAAAACAUGAGCUUGAUGCUGUAAUGAACUUGACCCCUCCAUCUCUUGAGGUUUCACUAAAUGAAGAUGACAUUGCACCACCAAUAAACAGCUCCACACCUCCAGAGCCUUCUGUCUCUUCACAUCCCUCCACCACUCCUCCUGCAAAGCCCCCUUUGAUGGAAAGUGCUCUAUAAAUUAAAAUUAUUAUUUCUAUUAUUACAAAACAAAUUUUAAAUGUCAUGAUUGAUGUGAUUAAUGUAUAAAUUUGACAUUCU
Cololabis saira (Pacific saury) is the source of this 717-nucleotide long non-coding RNA. RefSeq lists it as uncharacterized. The transcript has 3 exons. Lineage: Eukaryota; Metazoa; Chordata; Actinopteri; Beloniformes; Belonidae. The record is from RefSeq and is a predicted model, not a curated record.